Molecule: transfer RNA, 78 nt
Filed under: Schistosoma haematobium
Lineage: Eukaryota; Metazoa; Platyhelminthes; Trematoda; Strigeidida; Schistosomatidae
Rfam family: tRNA
About the family: Transfer RNA (tRNA) molecules are approximately 80 nucleotides in length. Their secondary structure includes four short double-helical elements and three loops (D, anti-codon, and T loops).
Source: Rfam by way of RNAcentral
GGUGGAGUGACCGAGUAGUCCAAGACUGGUUUAAGGCACUAGUCCGAAAGGGUGUGGGUUCGAAUCCUACCUCCAUCA